Molecule: ribosomal RNA, 426 nt
Filed under: uncultured bacterium
Lineage: Bacteria
Description: partial 16S ribosomal RNA
Rfam family: Bacterial small subunit ribosomal RNA
Source: RNAcentral
GUGAGGAAUUUUCCGCAAUGGGCGAAAGCCUGACGGAGCAAUGCCGCGUGAAGGAUGAAGGCCUAUGGGUUGUAAACUUCUUUUCUCAGAAAAGAAUUAUGACGGUAUCUGAGGAAUAAGCAUCGGCUAACUCUGUGCCAGCAGCCGCGGUAAGACAGAGGAUGCAAGCGUUAUCCGGAAUGAUUGGGCGUACAGCGUCUGUAGGUUGUUUAAAAAGUAUUCUGUCAAAGAUUAGGGCUUAACCCUAGAUAGGCAGAAUAAACUUUUAAGCUAGAGUUUGGUAGAGGCAGAGGGAAUUCCCGGUGGAGCGGUGAAAUGCGUAGAUAUCGGGAGGAACACCAAAGGCGAAGGCACUCUGCUGGGCCAAUACUAACACUGAGAGACGAAAGCGAGGGGAGCAAAUGGGAUUAGAAACCCGGGUAGUCC